This 95-nucleotide small nucleolar RNA is filed under the name Phaeoacremonium minimum UCRPA7. RNAcentral's name for it is "Small nucleolar RNA snR60/Z15/Z230/Z193/J17". It matches the Rfam family "Small nucleolar RNA snR60/Z15/Z230/Z193/J17". From Rfam's summary of the family: The members of this family belong to the C/D class of snoRNAs which contain the C (UGAUGA) and D (CUGA) box motifs. The record is from Rfam by way of RNAcentral. Lineage: Eukaryota; Fungi; Ascomycota; Sordariomycetes; Togniniales; Togniniaceae.
CCGGCUUUUGUGAUGAUUUACAUUAUGCAUAGUUCAUCCGACUAAUAAUGAGGACAAACUGUACCAUCAUCUUUCGCUCCCAUCUGAUAUGCCUU